This is a long non-coding RNA of Ornithodoros turicata, 460 nucleotides long. RefSeq lists it as uncharacterized. NCBI's taxonomy places the organism in Eukaryota, Metazoa, Arthropoda, Arachnida, Ixodida, Argasidae. The transcript is spliced from 2 exons. The record is from RefSeq and is a predicted model, not a curated record.
UGCGUCCAGUGUAACCCACGGGCCUUUGCCUCGAAGCGACGAGUGUUAAGUCUACGUUCCUCGAACCUUUGCCACGUGUAUCACGGACUCCACUGACGACGACCAUCAGGCCAGGCGCAUGCAGCUGACGGCAAUCGGAGAACCGAGUGUUCCAUUGUGUCCCACAAUGGCUCCACAGAGUCCUUCAGGCGAAAAAUGCAACGGCCAAUGGGGUACCUGAAACCUGAACAUCAGCGCGUUUCCUCGAUGUCCCUACCACUCUCUGCCAGUCGAAGCACGCCGAAGAACUCCCAAGCACACACAAAAAAAUGUCACGCCAGAAGACGACGGAGCUUGGGAUCUGAUGAAGCCAGAAUUCGAUGCAGCACUCCAGCAGUUCUCUGUGAAUGGGCAUCCAUGAUCUCGUGGCGCUGCCGCCAUCGGGGGCCUGUAGUCUAUAAAUAGAAUUACUGCAAUCCCA